This 774-nucleotide long non-coding RNA is filed under the name Homo sapiens (human). RNAcentral's name for it is "long non-coding RNA NONHSAT190391". The record is from RNAcentral. Lineage: Eukaryota; Metazoa; Chordata; Mammalia; Primates; Hominidae.
CUCCACUCUAUGCUAUGUCUACCAUGUGCUGCCAUGAUGUUCCACCCUAAAUUGUAAGAGGACCUCAAAGGCACAUGCCUCCAUGGUACACCUCACUUUGUAUAGUUUAGUUUUUAGGAAGGCUAAAACCAUCAUCUUGGAUAUGCAACAAGAUCCACUGGGUCUGUUUGAUACCCAGGCACCCAGGAAGGAGGGAGUGCAUUGAUUGACCAGCAUACAAGGCUCCUCUCAAGGGAACAGGGAGAGGAUUCUUCCAGAAGGACUGUAUUGAAUCUGAUCCACAUGCCCAUCAAUGCCAAAGUCAGUGUAAGGCUCAUUCAGCCUGACUUGAGUUCUUUUCUCUGGGUAAGUGAAUUAUUGCACUAACCUGCCCUUUGAGAGAGCAUUCCUGGCAAAAUUCUAGGUGCAGUAUCCUCUGGUAAACCAUAGGGAUGCAACACCAAGUACUCCUCUCAUGGAAGCCAUUGGCAUCCAAAAAUUUUCAAGGACAAAUCUCUGUUGUUGCUUGCCUUGCUGCUGUUGCAAUUCGUCUCCUAACUUAGCAGGAUAUAAAAGAUCCCAUCCAUGGAGACAAGUGGCUAAAUAUUUAAUGGAAAAAGGAAAGAAGGAGCAUGUUGUUCCACUCCCCUUAAGACAUCUGAGGACGUUCCUCAGCUCAUGCAAGAUUGUAAAUCUCCUGACCAAUGUGUCCGGGCACUCCUGAGUGCUGCUACCUAAUCAACAUGCGAACAGCCUCCUUCUUAAGAGUAAAUUGUCACAAAAUCAGGAUGUGAC